Molecule: ribosomal RNA, 171 nt
Filed under: uncultured bacterium
Lineage: Bacteria
Description: partial 16S ribosomal RNA
Rfam family: Bacterial small subunit ribosomal RNA
Source: RNAcentral
GCCUACGGGAGGCAGCAGGGGGAAUUUUCCGCAAUGGGCGAAAGCCUGACGGAGCAAUGCCGCGUGGAGGUGGAAGGCCUACGGGUCGUCAACUUCUUUUCUCGGAGAAGAAACAAUGACGGUAUCUGAGGAAUAAGCAUCGGCUAACUCUGUGCCAGCAGCCGCGGUAAU